RNAcentral lists this ribosomal RNA (790 nucleotides) under uncultured bacterium. RNAcentral's name for it is "bacterial SSU rRNA". It matches the Rfam family "Bacterial small subunit ribosomal RNA", at positions 62 to 844 of the family's 1533-position model. The record is from RNAcentral.
UCGAACGGCAGCACAGGGAGCUUGCUCCCGGGUGGCGAGUGGCGCACGGGUGAGUAAUACAUCGGAACGUGUCCUGUUGUGGGGGAUAACUGCUCGAAAGGGUGGCUAAUACCGCAUGAGACCUGAGGGUGAAAGCGGGGGAUCGCAAGACCUCGCGCAAUUGGAGCGGCCGAUGCCCGAUUAGCUAGUUGGUGAGGUAAAGGCUCACCAAGGCGACGAUCGGUAGCUGGUCUGAGAGGACGACCAGCCACACUGGGACUGAGACACGGCCCAGACUCCUACGGGAGGCAGCAGUGGGGAAUUUUGGACAAUGGGGGCAACCCUGAUCCAGCCAUGCCGCGUGCAGGAUGAAGGCCUUCGGGUUGUAAACUGCUCUUGUCAGGGACGAAAAGGACCGUGUUAAUACCAUGGUCUGCUGACGGUACCUGAAGAAUAAGCACCGGCUAACUACGUGCCAGCAGCCGCGGUAAUACGUAGGGUGCAAGCGUUAAUCGGAAUUACUGGGCGUAAAGCGUGCGCAGGCGGUUCUGUAAGACAGAUGUGAAAUCCCCGGGCUCAACCUGGGAAUUGCAUUUGUGACUGCAGGACUAGAGUUCAUCAGAGGGGGGUGGAAUUCCAAGUGUAGCAGUGAAAUGCGUAGAUAUUUGGAAGAACACCAAUGGCGAAGGCAGCCCCCUGGGAUGCGACUGACGCUCAUGCACGAAAGCGUGAGGAGCAAACAGGAUUAGAUACCCUGGUAGUCCACGCCCUANACGAUGUCUACUGGUUGUUGGGGUUUUNUAACCUUGGU